This 88-nucleotide transfer RNA is filed under the name Chloroflexota bacterium. RNAcentral describes it as "Chloroflexi bacterium tRNA-Tyr". It matches the Rfam family "tRNA". From Rfam's summary of the family: Transfer RNA (tRNA) molecules are approximately 80 nucleotides in length. Their secondary structure includes four short double-helical elements and three loops (D, anti-codon, and T loops). Further hydrogen bonds mediate the characteristic L-shaped molecular structure. tRNAs have two regions of fundamental functional importance: the anti-codon, which is responsible for specific mRNA codon recognition, and the 3' end, to which the tRNAs corresponding amino acid is attached (by aminoacyl-tRNA synthetases). tRNAs cope with the degeneracy of the genetic code in two manners: having more than one tRNA (with a specific anti-codon) for a particular amino acid; and 'wobble' base-pairing, i.e. permitting non-standard base-pairing at the 3rd anti-codon position. The record is from RNAcentral. Lineage: Bacteria; Bacillati; Chloroflexota.
GGAGGGGUGGGUGAGUGGUUAAAGCCACCAGACUGUAAAUCUGGCGUCCGGAAGGGCUUCGGGGGUUCGAAUCCCUCCCCCUCCACCA